UUCCUACGGGAGGCAGCAGUGAGGAAUAUUGCUCAAUGGACGAAAGUCUGAAGCAGCAACGCCGCGUGAGGGAUGAAGGUGCUCUGCAUUGUAAACCUCUGUAGUCGGGGACAAAAAACAGGUUACUACCUGUCUGAUGGUACCCGAAAAGUAAGGAUCGGCUAACUACGUGCCAGCAGCCGCGGUAAUACGUAGGAUCCAAGCGUUGUCCGGAUUUACUGGGUGUAAAGGGUGCGCAGGCGGACUUGUUAGUCAGAGGUGAAAUCUCACUGCUUAACAGUGAAACUGCCUUUGAUACUGCAGGUCUUGAAUCCAGAAGAGAGUUGUGGAAUUCCGAGUGUAGCAGUGAAAUGUGUAGAUAUUCGGAAGAACACCAGCGGCGAAGGCAGCAACUUGGUCUGGUAUUGACGCUCAGGCACGAAAGCAUGGGGAUCAAACAGGAUUAGAUACCCUGGUAGUCCAUGCCCUAAACGAUGAUCACUUGAUGUCGGCCCUCAGGGUCGGUGUCGAAGCUAACGCGUUAAGUGAUCCACCUGGGGAGUACGCUCGCAAGGGUGAAACUCAAAGGAAUUGACGGGGGCCCGCACAAGCAGUGGAGCAUGUGGUUUAAUUCGAUGCAACGCGAAGAACCUUACCUAGGCUUGAAAGGCUCUCUAAACCGGUGAAAGCCGGCUACCCGCAAGGGGGGGAGUACAGGUGCUGCAUGGCUGUCGUCAGCUCGUGCCGUGAGGUGUUUGGUUAAGUCCAGCAACGAGCGCAACCCCUGGAUCUAGUUACCAGCGAGUAAUGUCGGGAACUCUAGAUCGACUGCCUACGCAAGUAGUGAGGAAGGUGGGGACGACGUCAAGUCAUCAUGGCCCUUACGCCUAGGGCUACACACGUGCUACAAUGGCGUCUACAACGCGCUGCAAUACCGUGAGGUGGAGCGAAUCGCUAAAAAGACGUCUCAGUUCAGAUCGGAGUCUGCAACUCGACUCCGUGAAGUUGGAAUUGCUAGUAAUCGCAGGUCAGCACACUGCGGUGAAUACGUUCCCGGGCCUUGUACACACCGCCAA
Molecule: ribosomal RNA, 1055 nt
Filed under: uncultured bacterium
Lineage: Bacteria
Description: bacterial SSU rRNA
Rfam family: Bacterial small subunit ribosomal RNA
Source: RNAcentral